RNAcentral lists this ribosomal RNA (467 nucleotides) under uncultured bacterium. RNAcentral describes it as "partial 16S ribosomal RNA". It matches the Rfam family "Bacterial small subunit ribosomal RNA", at positions 29 to 507 of the family's 1533-position model. The record is from RNAcentral.
ACGAACGCUGGCGGCGUGCUUAACCCAUGCAAGUCGAACGGAAAGGCCCUGCUUUUGUGGGGUGCUCGAGUGGCGAACGGGUGAGUAACACGUGAGUAACCUGCCCUUGACUUUGGGAUAACUUCAGGAAACUGGGGCUAAUACCGGAUAGGAGCUCCUGCUGCAUGGUGGGGGUUGGAAAGUUUCGGCGGUUGGGGAUGGACUCGCGGCUUAUCAGCUUGUUGGUGGGGUAGUGGCUUACCAAGGCUUUGACGGGUAGCCGGCCUGAGAGGGUGACCGGUCACAUUGGGACUGAGAUACGGCCCAGACUCCUACGGGAGGCAGCAGUGGGGAAUAUUGCACAAUGGGCGGAAGCCUGAUGCAGCAACGCCGCGUGCGGGAUGACGGCCUUCGGGUUGUAAACCGCUUUCGCCUGUGACGAAGCGUGAGUGACGGUAAUGGGUAAAGAAGCACCGGCUAACUACGUG